Falco peregrinus (peregrine falcon) is the source of this 2816-nucleotide long non-coding RNA. RefSeq lists it as uncharacterized. The transcript has 4 exons. The record is from RefSeq and is a predicted model, not a curated record. Lineage: Eukaryota; Metazoa; Chordata; Aves; Falconiformes; Falconidae.
UCCACAGGAGCCACCAGCUAAAAUGAUGUAUAGGUUGUCCUAAAUUGUAGCAUCAGGCUGGUACCUUGUCAGAUGCUACAGAAACAGCUCCAAGUCGCCUUUGUCCGGUCAGGUAGUUGCAGUGGUGGCAGCUCUGCGGGACUGUUGUAGCUGUUGAGGUAGAUGGGACCAUGGGCAUCCUCCCUGAGAUGUCACUGGUGGAAAGGUGGCCUGAGGAAAGCCUCCAGCGGUCCUGCAGCUGGGCCAUGCUUUGACUGAGCAUUCCACAUUUGGAGCGCUUAUCUGGGCUCAACCCCCACUAGCAAACGCUGGUGUACAUGGCCAAUUCCUGCUUCUUGCACCGAGGUCAGAGCAAGUGGUGCCUGGCGGGAGACCGGUGAAAAGAUCACGAAAGAAGCAGCUAUCAGCUGAUGACUUGUGCUGGGAGGCAGCAGGCGAGUAACCUUGCUCCAUUUUAUGGUAGUGCUUCACCUGCGAGUGCCCGCUGUGAGUGAAAUUGCCUGGGCUGGUGCUGUCCUUUAUCAAUUUCGCUCUCAGCAGGCUCCGCAGGUGAAGCGUUUCAUUGCAGGAGUCAGACUCCGCUCUCUCCUUGACAGCCUGAAAUAGGAGGUGGGGAAAGGAAAGAAGGUAAUAAAUGGCCAGAGAAAAGCAAAAGCAGAACAGAGGGUGGUGAGAAGCAGGAUGUGACUUAAACGGUAAUGGUAAUUCAUACUCAGCCCUCUAAUUCUGGGGGAAUUUGACACUGAAAAGAGCUUUACGUAGCUCUUUCAAGCUUUACAGUUAGACGUAAAAGAACUUCACAAUUAGAAGUGAAAAAUUAUGGUGAAUAGUAUUAUGUUUAAGAUGCUAUGUAAGAUGAUGUGGCUAAAAUUAAAAGAUAAUUUUCUUGAUCUUCAGCCUAAUGGAAUUAUAGCAGCUGUUUCCGGGAGAAAGCCAGGCAAAAAUUCUUUUUUUCUGUUUUUCUAAAGUCUGCAUUUCAGAUUUUUGUGGGCUUUGGGUUUUGUUUAUUUAUUGCCCCUUCUUAAGACAACCUGCAUGUGACUUUCAGCGUUGCUGGGCGCCUGAUGCCACUUCCCUUGACUUCAGAGAGUUAUUCAGCAUUCAAGAUGAGAACCAUGCAAAAUCAGUAACUGCCUCGGAACAUCUGACUGCCUGUUACUGAAGAAAGAAGCUCAGUGAUUCAGGGACAGGGAUAUCAAUGCAGCUUUAAAUUUCACAGACCCAUCUCUUUCCAGCCAGGAAACAUUUGAGGCGUGUAAAUGAGAGCCCUCCAUCCCCAAAGAGGCUGAGGCCUGAACUUCAGGCAGGAGUGAAAGCAUCCAACGAAGGAGCUGAGGGAAGCUCUGGAGAAAGAUAAACUGCCUGACUGGCAAGGUGUAUUAUGAGCCCCAUACAAGGCUUUGCAAUUGGAGUGCAGCAGCAGAUCAUCCAGAGAUGAGAAAAACCACUUCCUCCCGCCACCACCUCUAUGAAUCUGCACCAGGACCUGCUGACAGCUCUGCGCCACCCUCCUCAGCUCAAGUCGAGAGAAGUACCUGCCAUCAGAAACUCCAGAGUUGCUCAACACUUCUUCCCUGCUGCACAGUGCACAUGCAGAAGUGACCGCAAGGUGACUUUCCCCCAUAGACACUGGAGCAUCUUAUAAUAGGAUCAGCAUCACUAUGGCUUUGACACACGGAGCUGCAACACAGCAAAGAGAGAUGGAGCAGAAGUUGCAGAGGGUUCGGUGAAGCACAUCACCUGCCGCAAGUGGACUUCAGGGGAAAAGCUCUACAGGGAAGGCAGCUGCGGAAGAAUGCAGGGCUGGGCCCUGUGCAGGACCUGCACGGGAGUUUGGUACCAUUUUGUUGGGGGAGGACACCAAGAACCUCACCAGAAUUGCACCAUGGGGCUGAAUGUCUCCCUUCCCUGCUCCCAAUGACUUCUAACCUUUUCAAGGGUGUUAUUAUCUAACAGCCAAUUUUUCUUACAUCUUUGAACAAGGUCUUACUCAGAUGAACAUGGUCCUUCAUGAGGAAACCACAAAGUAAAAAAGGCAAUUCACCCUGAGGUGUUGCUCCCUACUUACUGUUCAGCCCUAGAAGUGCCUGGUAUCUAUUCCCGGUUUCCCAACUCGCGGCAAAAUCCUGUGGUACAUGGAGGUAUGAGUAGAUGCAUGUAGACAUGCACAUGCAUUUGUGUCCUGGGCUCUCAAUUCUGUUUUUAAUUGGAAAAUUCCAUUACAUUUGCAAUACACGUGGAUCCCAUGGGAUGCCCUGCUGCGUCGCCGGGGAAGCCCUUGGGUGCCACAGGCAGGGGCUGAUCCCGGGCUGGCUGUGGGGUGGGAGCAGGCGCCGUGUGGGAGCAGUGCAGGAGGCUGGACUGGCAGCACUGGCUGUGGUUACAUAUCCCCGGUGGUUUCUAUUGAGCAACGUCUUUUGGGUCUGUAUGGCUUUGGCCAGACAGGUUCGGUUUGGGUUUGGGUCUGGUUUUGCUGAAAGAUGGCCUCGGGGUGAGUGCUGCCAGAAAAUUCCCCCUAAAAAUGGCUUAAUGAUUUCUGAAAAUAAAAUUCAAGACAGAAAUUCCCUUUCAUGUGUGAAAAAAUAAUGCUGUGGUUUUGUAGAGAGGUGCUAGCCUCCCAAGGGAGCCAGCUAUUAAAGAGGGAUUACAGAGGGAUGUGCUUACAAGGAUGUGGCUAUUGGUUUUUUGCUUGCUGCACAAACUUUUGGCAUCCUCUGGCCAAGCUGCACGUCCCCCCAAAAUAUAAGCUCAGUAGAAAUGUUAGUGUUUGCUCUCAAAUCUCUGAGGGUCUCAUCCAUAUGCUGCUGCACAAAACU